This 123-nucleotide ribosomal RNA is filed under the name Ornithobacterium rhinotracheale. RNAcentral describes it as "partial 23S ribosomal RNA". It matches the Rfam family "Bacterial large subunit ribosomal RNA", at positions 2786 to 2925 of the family's 2925-position model. Lineage: Bacteria; Pseudomonadati; Bacteroidota; Flavobacteriia; Flavobacteriales; Weeksellaceae. The record is from RNAcentral.
UGCGAAACUUGCCACAAGAUAAGACUUCUUUUAAGGGCCGUGGGAGAUGACCACGUAGAUAGGCUACAGAUGUACAGGCAGUAAUGUCUUAGUCGAGUAGUACUAAUUACCCGUAGAUUUAAC